CGAUACCAUAUCAUAUUCAAAUCCCUUUGCCAUCCACUUUAUUUGUUGAAGCAGAAGAGAGAGAGAGAGAGAGAGAGAGCGAGAGAGAGAGAGAGAGAGAGAGAGAGAGAGAGAGAGAGGGAGAGAUGGAUCCACCGGAAUCACAAUCCAUAGAUGUUUAUAGCAAAAGCAACAAAACCGAAGAUGCUCAGGACAGAGCCGUAGACGAGUGUUGUUCCUGUUGCUAUCUGUGCAUGGAGACUUGCUUCGAUUACUUGUUCUGCAACCUCUGCUGAUUUCUCCCUUCUCUUCCCAAUUCUUUGUAAUAAUAACUCUCUCUCUCUCUCUCCUGAAGUUUAUUGUUUCAGCCGCCAUAGCUCUGAACGAUGAACAUUUACUUUGUGUAUGAAUUACAUAUUUACAUGUUCUGGACUUUCUUCUUAA
Molecule: long non-coding RNA, 423 nt
Organism: Tarenaya hassleriana
Lineage: Eukaryota; Viridiplantae; Streptophyta; Magnoliopsida; Brassicales; Cleomaceae
Exons: 2
Source: RefSeq, a predicted model, not a curated record